Schizosaccharomyces pombe (fission yeast) is the source of this 699-nucleotide non-coding RNA. NCBI's taxonomy places the organism in Eukaryota, Fungi, Ascomycota, Schizosaccharomycetes, Schizosaccharomycetales, Schizosaccharomycetaceae. The record is from the annotation of a GenBank genome assembly.
AUAUACAUACAUUACGAUUUAGACUGUGUAAGGUAGAUGUGGCCUGAAUAUAACCGAAAUGAAUAACUUGAUGGUGGCCAAUUUUGCUGGUCUGACUAAGAACAGCCAGCUUUUUGUUCUAUGAAAUUCCAGCAAUGCUAGAGUCCAUUGUAGUUUUCUGGAAGUGAGUUGUAGAAAAGCGCGACAAAGUCAAGAACUAUAGUGGUGUUUUAGACUUAGCAAUUUAAUUUAAAAAAGGUACCAGCCAUGUUUAGUAGGACCAUAGUUUCAAACUUGAAUGUGGAUUAACGAUUUUCAAAAGUAUGACUUGAAAAGAUAAAUUGGAAUUAUUUAGAAAAUUUCUGUUUCUUGUACGGUAGACUUUUUAUAAUGGAUACGAUGGAUGAACGUAAGUAAGUCACAUGAAUUUUAGAUUUUGAAGACAACUAUAAGCAGCGAUAAAAAGUGUACUCAAAGUUAAUUCAUACUUCAAUUAAGCAGGUUUAAGAUAUUUGACGGUCAUAAUAAAAUCACUAAAUCCAAAGUAAUAAUAGUUUAUGGAUUUACACAUGCCAUGUUCAGCAAAUUUGUUCAUAUUUGAUUCAAACACAUGAGAUCCAGCAAGAUUUCACGCUCUUCAUUUUAUGUCAUCAGUUUCGAUUAGUUUUAAACUGUUAAAUAGAACUUUUCACGAAUGCAAUGAAUAUAUACAUGAAUCGU